Molecule: ribosomal RNA, 468 nt
Filed under: uncultured bacterium
Lineage: Bacteria
Description: partial 16S ribosomal RNA
Rfam family: Bacterial small subunit ribosomal RNA
Source: RNAcentral
GACGAACGCUGGCGGCGUGCUUAACACAUGCAAGUCGAACGGAAAGGCCCUGCUUUUGUGGGGUGCUCGAGUGGCGAACGGGGGAGUAACACGUGAGUAACAUGCACUUGACUUUGGGGUAACUUCAGGAAACUGGGGCUAAUACCGGAUAGGAGCUCCUGCUGCAUGGGGGGGGUUGGAAAGUUUCGGCGGUUGGGGCUGGACUCGCGGCUUAUCAGCUUGUUGGUGGGGUAGGGGCUGACCAAGGCUUUGACGGGUAGCCGGCCUGAGAGGGUGACCGGCCACCUUGGGCCUGCGAUACGGCCCAGACUCCUACGUUCGGCAGCAGUGGGGAAUAUUGCGCAAUGGGCGGACGCCUGAUGCAGCAACGCCGCGUGCGGGAUGACGGCCUUCGGGUUGUAAACCGCUUUCGCCUGUGACGAAGCGUGAGUGACGGUAAUGGGUAAAGAAGCACCGGCUAACUACGUG